This 2800-nucleotide ribosomal RNA is filed under the name Acinetobacter baumannii. Its description in RNAcentral is "partial 23S ribosomal RNA". It matches the Rfam family "Bacterial large subunit ribosomal RNA". The record is from RNAcentral. Lineage: Bacteria; Pseudomonadati; Pseudomonadota; Gammaproteobacteria; Moraxellales; Moraxellaceae.
AGUCAAGUAAUUAAGUGCAUGUGGUGGAUGCCUUGGCAGUCAGAGGCGAUGAAAGACGUGAUAGCCUGCGAAAAGCUCCGGGGAGGCGGCAAAUAUCCUUUGAUCCGGAGAUGUCUGAAUGGGGGAACCCACCUACUUUAAGGUAGGUAUUGCAACAUGAAUACAUAGUGUUGCAAGGCGAACGAGGGGAAGUGAAACAUCUCAGUACCCUUAGGAAAAGAAAUCAAUUGAGAUUCCCUCAGUAGCGGCGAGCGAACGGGGAUCAGCCCAUUAAGUUAUGUGUGUUUUAGUGGAACGCUCUGGGAAGUGCGAACGUAGAGGGUGAUAUUCCCGUACACGAAAGGGCACACAUAAUGAUGACGAGUAGGGCGAGGCACGUGAAACCUUGUCUGAAUAUGGGGGGACCAUCCUCCAAGGCUAAAUACUCCUGACUGACCGAUAGUGAACCAGUACCGUGAGGGAAAGGCGAAAAGAACCCCUGUGAGGGGAGUGAAAUAGAUCCUGAAACCGCAUGCAUACAAGCAGUGGGAGCACCUUCGUGGUGUGACUGCGUACCUUUUGUAUAAUGGGUCAGCGACUUAUAUUCAGUAGCGAGGUUAACCGUAUAGGGGAGCCGUAGAGAAAUCGAGUCUUAAUAGGGCGUUUAGUUGCUGGGUAUAGACCCGAAACCAGGCGAUCUAUCCAUGAGCAGGUUGAAGGUUGGGUAACACUAACUGGAGGACCGAACCCACUGUCGUUGAAAAGCCAGGGGAUGACUUGUGGAUAGGGGUGAAAGGCUAAUCAAGCCUGGUGAUAGCUGGUUCUCCCCGAAAGCUAUUUAGGUAGCGCCUCGGACGAAUACCAUAGGGGGUAGAGCACUGUUUCGGCUAGGGGGUCAUCCCGACUUACCAAACCGAUGCAAACUCCGAAUACCUAUGAGUACUAUCCGGGAGACAGACUGCGGGUGCUAACGUCCGUAGUCAAGAGGAAAACAAUCCAGACCGCCAGCUAAGGCCCCAAAAUCAUAGUUAAGUGGGAAACGAUGUGGGAAGGCAUAGACAGCUAGGAGGUUGGCUUAGAAGCAGCCACCCUUUAAAGAAAGCGUAAUAGCUCACUAGUCGAGUCGGCCUGCGCGGAAGAUGUAACGGGGCUAAAACUAUGUGCCGAAGCUGCGGAUGUAUACUUUGUAUACGUGGUAGGGGAGCGUUCUGUAAGCCGAUGAAGGUGUGUUGAGAAGCAUGCUGGAGGUAUCAGAAGUGCGAAUGCUGACGUGAGUAACGACAAAACGGGUGAAAAACCCGUUCGCCGAAAGACCAAGGGUUCCAGUCCAACGUUAAUCGGGGCUGGGUGAGUCGACCCCUAAGGCGAGGCCGAAAGGCGUAGUCGAUGGGAAAAUGGUUAAUAUUCCAUUACUUCUGUGUAAUGCGAUGAGAGGACGGAGAAGGCUAAAUCAGCCUGGCGUUGGUUGUCCAGGUGAAAGGAUGUAGGCAUGUAUCUUAGGCAAAUCCGGGGUACUCUAUGCUGAGAUCUGAUAGCAAGCUGUACUUGUACAGCGAAGUGGUUGAUGCCAUGCUUCCAGGAAAAGUCUCUAAGCUUCAGUUACACAGGAAUCGUACCCGAAACCGACACAGGUGGUCAGGUCGAGUAGACCAAGGCGCUUGAGAGAACUCUGCUGAAGGAACUAGGCAAAAUGGUACCGUAACUUCGGGAGAAGGUACGCUGUUGUUGGUGAUGGAACUCGCUUCCUGAGCUGACGACAGCCGCAGAAACCAGGCCGCUGCAACUGUUUAUUAAAAACAUAGCACUCUGCAAACACGAAAGUGGACGUAUAGGGUGUGAUGCCUGCCCGGUGCUGGAAGGUUAAUUGAUGGGGUUAGCGUAAGCGAAGCUCUUGAUCGAAGCCCCAGUAAACGGCGGCCGUAACUAUAACGGUCCUAAGGUAGCGAAAUUCCUUGUCGGGUAAGUUCCGACCUGCACGAAUGGCAUAAUGAUGGCGGCGCUGUCUCCAGCAGAGGCUCAGUGAAAUCGAAAUCGCUGUGAAGAUGCAGUGUACCCGCGGCUAGACGGAAAGACCCCGUGAACCUUUACUGCAGCUUGACACUGAACUUUGACCUUACUUGUGUAGGAUAGGUGGGAGGCUUUGAAGCUGGAACGCUAGUUCCAGUGGAGCCGUCCUUGAAAUACCACCCUGGUAAUGUUGAGGUUCUAACUCUGUCCCGUGAUCCGGGACGAGGACCGUGUCUGGUGGGUAGUUUGACUGGGGCGGUCUCCUCCUAAAGAGUAACGGAGGAGUACGAAGGUGCGCUCAGCGUGGUCGGAAAUCACGCGUAGAGUAUAAAGGCAAAAGCGCGCUUAACUGCGAGACCCACAAGUCGAGCAGGUACGAAAGUAGGUCUUAGUGAUCCGGUGGUUCUGUAUGGAAGGGCCAUCGCUCAACGGAUAAAAGGUACUCUGGGGAUAACAGGCUGAUACCGCCCAAGAGUUCAUAUCGACGGCGGUGUUUGGCACCUCGAUGUCGGCUCAUCUCAUCCUGGGGCUGAAGCAGGUCCCAAGGGUAUGGCUGUUCGCCAUUUAAAGAGGUACGCGAGCUGGGUUUAGAACGUCGUGAGACAGUUCGGUCCCUAUCUACCGUGGGCGCUGGAAAUUUGAGAGGAUCUGCUCCUAGUACGAGAGGACCAGAGUGGACGAACCUCUGGUGUACCGGUUGUGACGCCAGUCGCAUCGCCGGGUAGCUAUGUUCGGAAGGGAUAACCGCUGAAAGCAUCUAAGCGGGAAGCCUACCUCAAGAUAAGAUUUCCCUAGGACUUUAUGUCCUCUAAAG